This 748-nucleotide ribosomal RNA is filed under the name uncultured Peptoniphilus sp. RNAcentral's name for it is "bacterial SSU rRNA". It matches the Rfam family "Bacterial small subunit ribosomal RNA", at positions 28 to 776 of the family's 1533-position model. Lineage: Bacteria; Bacillati; Bacillota; Tissierellia; Tissierellales; Peptoniphilaceae. The record is from RNAcentral.
GACGAACGCUGGCGGCGCGCUUAACACAUGCAAGUCGAGCGACGAAAUCUUGACAGAACCCUUCGGGGUGAAGAUAAGAUGGAUUAGCGGCGGACGGGUGAGUAACACGUGAGUAACCUGCCUUAGACAUUGGGAUAGCCUCGGGAAACCGGGAUUAAUACCAAAUGAAAUCACAUAUGCACAUGCAUAAAUGAUCAAAGCUCCGGCGGUCUAAGAUGGACUCGCGUCCCAUUAGCUAGUUGGUGAGGUAACUGCCCACCAAGGCGACGAUGGGUAGCCGGCCUGAGAGGGUGAACGGCCACAUUGGAACUGAGAAACGGUCCAAACUCCUACGGGAGGCAGCAGUGGGGAAUAUUGCACAAUGGAGGGAACUCUGAUGCAGCGACGCCGCGUGAACGAAGAAGGCUUUCGAGUCGUAAAGUUCUUUUAUAUGGGAAGAUAAUGACGGUACCAUAAGAAAAAGCCCCGGCUAACUACGUGCCAGCAGCCGCGGUAAUACGUAGGGGGCUAGCGUUGUCCGGAAUCACUGGGCGUAAAGGGUUCGCAGGCGGAAAUGCAAGUCAGGUGUAAAAGGCAGUAGCUUAACUACUGUAAGCAUUUGAAACUGCAUAUCUUGAGAAGAGUAGAGGUAAGUGGAAUUUUUAGUGUAGCGGUGAAAUGCGUAGAUAUUAAAAAGAAUACCGGUGGCGAAGGCGACUUACUGGGCUCAUUCUGACGCUGAGGAACGAAAGCGUGGGUAGCAAACAGG